RNAcentral lists this ribosomal RNA (458 nucleotides) under uncultured bacterium. RNAcentral describes it as "bacterial SSU rRNA". It matches the Rfam family "Bacterial small subunit ribosomal RNA", at positions 47 to 524 of the family's 1533-position model. The record is from RNAcentral.
CCUAACACAUGCAAGUCGAGCGGUAACAGGUGUAGCAAUACAUGCUGACGAGCGGCGAACGGGUGAGUAAUGCUUCGGAAUCUACCCAGUAGUGGGGAAUAACCAACCGAAAGGUUGGCUAAUACCGCAUACGUCCUACGGGAGAAAGCGGGGGUCGCAAGACCUCGCGCUAUUGGAUGAGCCGAAGUCGGAUUAGCUAGUUGGUGAGGUAACGGCUCACCAAGGCGACGAUCCGUAGCUGGUCUGAGAGGACGACCAGCCACACUGGGACUGAGACACGGCCCAGACUCCUACGGGAGGCAGCAGUGGGGAAUAUUGGACAAUGGGCGCAAGCCUGAUCCAGCAAUGCCGCGUGUGUGAAGAAGGUCUUCGGAUUGUAAAGCACUUUUGGCAGGGACGAUGAUGACGGUACCUGCAGAAUAAGCCCCGGCUAACUUCGUGCCAGCAGCCGCGGUAAU